This 592-nucleotide long non-coding RNA is filed under the name Zonotrichia albicollis (white-throated sparrow). Its description in RNAcentral is "lncRNA (ENSZALG00000001233.1)". The record is from RNAcentral. Lineage: Eukaryota; Metazoa; Chordata; Aves; Passeriformes; Passerellidae.
UCUCUAUAGAAAUUCCCGAAUUCCCUGAUCCCACUGCAUUCCCUGCUCUCAGGAAUUCCCAAAUUCCCUGAUCCCACUGCAUUCCCUGCUCUCAGAAAUUCCCGAAUUUCCUGAAUUCCCUGAUCCCACUGCAUUCCCCUCUCAGGAAUUCCAGAAAUUCCCUAAAUUCGGAGCCUUCACCUCCCCCUGCUGGCAGAUCCCGCUCUGUCCCGGACCUCCCAUUCCCAAAUUUCCCCAAUUUGCAGGACAAAUUCUCUCUUUUUUCCUGAACCUCCCAUUCCCAAAUUUCCCCAAUUUNGGGGGCGGCUGCGGCUCCCGCCGGGACCCAGCGGGGCAAAACCGUCCCGGGACUAUCCCGGGUUAAAUCCCAAAUUCUGGGUUAAAUCCCAAAUUCUGGGUUAAAUCCCAAACCCGCGGGUUAAAUCCCAAAUUCUGGGGUUAAAUCCCAAAUUCUGGGUUAAAUCCCAUAUCCUCAGGUUAAAUCCCAAACCCUCGGGUUAAAUCCCAAAUUCUGGGUUAAAUCCCAAAUCCUCAGGUUAAAUCCCAAACCCUCGGUUAAAUCCCAAAUUCUGGGGUUAAAUCCCCAAAUUCU